RNAcentral lists this small RNA (34 nucleotides) under Arabidopsis thaliana (thale cress). RNAcentral's name for it is "ATSL002540". Lineage: Eukaryota; Viridiplantae; Streptophyta; Magnoliopsida; Brassicales; Brassicaceae. The record is from RNAcentral.
UUGUUUUGAUAUGACGGAUAUACAGAACUCCCAU